Molecule: long non-coding RNA, 2561 nt
Filed under: Cinara cedri
Lineage: Eukaryota; Metazoa; Arthropoda; Insecta; Hemiptera; Aphididae
Source: RNAcentral
UGUGUCUUGGUUUGUCAAUAAGUAUAUUGAUUUACUGAAUGUUUAUUGUAAAACUGAGUGUAUAUGCAAUGUAGGUAUAUGUUAGUUAUAAUUUAUUCCUAGUGAUUUAUCCAAAUAGUCAAUAUUUUAUACACUAUAUUAUAUAGUGAGAUUUAAAUACAAAUCUAGAACAAGGAUUAUGUAAAAUGUGUAAUACUCUUUAAAGUACAAAUUAUAAAUAAUUUUAAUAAAGGUACCUAUUAUAAGUAUACAAUGUUAGUUAUAAUUUAUUCCCAGUGAUUUAUCCAAAUAGUCAAUAUUUUAUACACUAUGUUAUAUAGUGAGAUUUAAAUACAAAUUUAGAACAAAGAUUAUGUAAAAUGUGUAAUACUCUUUUAAGUACAAAUUAUAAAUAAUUUUAAUUAAGGUACCCAUUUUAAGUAUACAAAAUUAAUAAAACAAUUAAUUAUAUUUGAUUAAUCUUCAUAAUGAUUUCUUUACCUUUCCAAAACAUGUUAUCUUCUUCAUUGUGAUAGGAAAUUGUAUUAUGAUAAGACAAGUUUUGAUGUGUAUAUUUUAUUUUAAUAUUAACAAUUCAAUAAAACCUAAUAUCAAUUUAUUAUGAAAGUCUCAAAUUUAUACUUUAACCAUUUAAAUUUUAAUAAGUGAAAGUAUUAGAAGACCAAUCUAUAUAUUGAUAUCCUAAAUUAAUAUAAUUAAAUUAUAAGACAUUUGUACUCAUAUUUCUUAAAUAGUCCCUAAAUAGAUUUUUGUUUAUAGAUUUUUUUCCUACAUAAAUAUAAUAUUUAUGGAGAAUAACAUUAAUAAUUUUUAUUUAUAUUUAUAUUUAACACAUCUCUCAAAGGUGUAAGUUGAACUAUAUACAUAAAAUAAUGACAGUAUAUAAUACUAAUGAUAGAUUUACACUAUCAACAGAAUUUUUUUUCAAAAAUCUUGUUUCAUAUAAAUAAAUAAAAGAAAAAAUAUAAAUGACUUAACUCAUAAAUUUCAUUUCUAAAUACACUAAACAUUUAGAGAUCAUUUACAAAAUAUGAGCUAUAUUUUCUUAAAAUAUUUUAAUAUAUAAUUAAAUAAAUGUAUAAUUUACCUUUUUUACAUUGAUAUACUUAAGUUAUACAUUUGAGAUAUUCAAAGCAAUUUUGAAUUAGGUUCAAUGAACACAAAAUAUUUUAAACUGUAUUUUUGCUAAUGAUAAAAUUUGAUAUUAAUUUCUAUAAUAAUGUAAAUUGUAUUACCCAAACAGAUAUGCUUAAUUAAAACACAGAAAAAUGUCAAAACUUUAUACAAAAGACACAUAUGUGUUAUCAACAUAAUCAAUAUUGAGAAAUCUUGUUUAAUACAAACAAAUCAAAAUGAUUGUAUCUAUACAUCUUUCACUAAUAGUUAUAGAUUAGUUAAAAAUACCAAAUAUUUAGGAAAUUGCUGAAAAAUUUGUAUACUUAAUACAUAUAUACACAUUACACAAUAUCAAGUUAUGAAAUUAUAAAAAUAUCAUUGACAACAAAUAAAACAGAUUGGACUAUCAGUAUAAGGUAUAUAAGGUGUAUUAUUCAAUGUCUGUCUCCUAAUAUAUAAUAUUUUCGUAUAAAUCUAAUAUAAAAAUACCAACUCAUAUACAAACCAUCUAAAGAAUAUGAAUACAUUUUUAUUAUAUUUAAUAAAUGAUUGAUUUGAUUUAAGGACAUUUUAUUUAUCAUAUUUACUAUAAUUCAACUAAUUUAAAUUGAAAUAAUUUGGGAAUUUUAAGAUUUUAAAUUGACAUUGUCUGUUAUUGAUUUUUAAAUUUAAAAAAAACAACACAUUGUACUGAUUUCAAUCAAAAAAUUAUUUUAGAAUGAACAAAAAAUAGCCAUAAGUAUAUAUUUCUUUAUAAUGAAGUAUGGAAUUUUUUUUCUCAAUAAAUUUGUAUUCUGAAAAGGGUUAGUUUAGUUGAUUUAUAAAUAUUGAAAAAUGUCAGUACUUCUUACAAAGGAAGGAAAUAUUUUAUCAGCAUAAUUCUAAAUAGUAUCCUUUCAAUUUUAAAUGAAGAUCAUAGAUACAAUCCUAAAUGUACAGCUAAGAAAAGUAUGGAUAAAUUAAUUUAUUUUAUAUAUGAACUUACUUCGGCUUUUAAGUAAUACAAUUUUCAUGACAAAAAAAGUAAUAUCAAAUUUUAUAAUCGUCAAUUAAUUAUGAAAAUUCUAAAAUUGUGCCUUUUUAAAAUCAAAUAUAUAUUAGUUAAAUUAUUGUGAAAAUGAUUUACUAAAGUGUUUUGCUUCUUCAGUUUUAAUUCUAAGAACCAUUAAAUCAUUUAAUCUUUCAGCACCAAUUAAUGUCCUCAAGAAAUUGUUUAUCAAUUUUGGUGAAGAAAGAAACGUUCACUUGAUGCAGUUGUCACUGGUAAUGUUAACAUUAUAGACAAUAUUUUUGUGAUUUCAGGAAAUGCAAACGGUAGCUUUAAAACAAUAUUAAAUAUUAAUUUUAAUUUUAAUUGGGACAUGUCUUCUAGUUCAAAUGUUGCCUUAAUUAAAGAAAAUUCUGAUGGCAGGCUUAAGAGGACGUUUUACCCACAUCUACUGUCU